UCCGUAGGUGAACCUGCGGAAGGAUCAUUCGCACAAAGAUAUGUUCUAUUCCACCCGCCACGCACCAUACAGUGCUUUCUGUUUUAUCAUCAGGAAAUUUAAUUUCCAACUCGUCGAUGUUGCGAUCUCAUUGCAAUGUAUGCGAUGUUAUCUAUCUCUUGCGACGACGAAUGCCUUGGCUCGAGGAUCGUUGAAGGACGCAGCGAACUGUGCUAAACAUCUCGAAUUGCAGAUUUCCGAGAAAGAAAAGGAUUCUGAACGCAUUCUGCGAGUUGAACUUGUUUCAGCUCACGUGAUUGACGGUGACCGAAAUAUGCAGUCGCUCGAACUCCGAAGUUCAAGUGGUGUUCACAUGUUGUCGCAAAGUUUUGCGCCGACGUGUUCGUGGAAUUCAGCGCGUCUCUCGUUUUCGAGUUGCAUUAUGAAUUCAUUUCAUUGUGUUCGAUUUCAGUGACGUGUCUCAGUUUUUCAUUUUUUGAAAACAUUUUUUUCCGCACGCUCACGAUCAGUCACGGGAUUACCCGCUGAAUAAAAGCAUAUCAA
RNAcentral lists this ribosomal RNA (543 nucleotides) under uncultured eukaryote. RNAcentral describes it as "eukaryotic LSU rRNA". The stretch from base 156 to 308 matches the Rfam family "5.8S ribosomal RNA". The record is from RNAcentral.